Piliocolobus tephrosceles (Ugandan red Colobus) is the source of this 1521-nucleotide long non-coding RNA. RefSeq lists it as uncharacterized. NCBI's taxonomy places the organism in Eukaryota, Metazoa, Chordata, Mammalia, Primates, Cercopithecidae. The transcript has 4 exons. The record is from RefSeq and is a predicted model, not a curated record.
CGUCUUGGGUUGGAUCUCUGGUGGCAGCCAGAGCAAAGGAUUUUGAGGCCUCCUACCUAAAGUUUAAGUGCAUAAUUAAAACCCUGUUUUGAAUAUAUCUCCAGAAGUGGAAUUGCUGAAUCACAAGGUCUAGUGUUGGAUGAUGUUCCUGCCGUACUAUGCAAACUGGUCACAGGCAUCUCUUCACUUGUCGGUAGACACAUUUAGGAGCCAGACACCAAGGAUUGGCUAAAGACACAGAGCUAACUAUGAAGAGGAGCUUGGAGCUCGUGUCCUGCUGGAGGGAGGAACUGGCACGUGGACGAAGUGAUAACACAGGGAACCCAUCUUACCACAUACAGAUCUUCCUAGAAGAAUAUGCUGAUAAGAAGUACCAAUCCAAGUGGCGACGUCUCCAGCACUCUCCCAGGACCCUUGCAGAACACCUUUCCUUAUCAGCUCCUCUCCCUCUGACCUUGUCUACCACUCGGCAGUAGAAGUUCUCUUCACUUCAUGUAUCAGGUCUCUCCCUCAUUUGUCCCUCUUACUAGCUCCUGAAUUACUUAGCAGAACCAGAAACUUUGCAUCAUUCCCAUAACUAAUAUUUACACGUUUCUUUAGAUGCCCUUUCAACUAGAUUCCACUGAUACAAUCCCUGCAAUUUCCAUAACUGUCUUGAAAGCAGUGCAUUAAACUGAAAAUCAGACAAUGAAGUUGAAACUGACCUGCCUUCAAACAAUAGUGCUGUAAUGCACGCUUCCUCUGACCCUGGUGUGUUAUGUAAGUCUCUCUGCCUAUGCCUUCUGUGGUGAAAAGGUCCUUUUAGAAGGCUUGUACGGAGCAUUAUACAUGGAGUGUCUGGAAUCUAAUACGCACUCAACAAAUGCUCAUCCAAACCCUUGACUCGCCAGUCAAUUAAUCCACACGGAAGAAAGAAAAGCAAAUGAAAAUCUUUGGGGACAUAUUUUUUGUUUAAUUGUCUGCAGGGCUAAUUGUUCUGAAGUUUCCUUAUUUCCAUUGUGUAUUUUACCUGGAGAUAUACAGAAGUGAGGACUUUCCCCCCAGUUAGGUGCCAGGAGGUUUGUGAAGAUAACAACAAAUUAUAUGAGAACUUUUAAGAUGUGGCUGACUGAGAAGGAAUAAUUGUUGAUUUCUAGAUUGGUUAUUUACCUUUUGUGGCUGGUUGUUUCAAUUAAUUCACCAGUUUUAUUCAAUUAUUUGAUUCCAAAGAGUGGUUCUAAAUUAAAAACAACCAUCUUGCCUAAAAUUGUCCUUGGACAUUGAGGGCCUAACACCUUCUGGUUAUGGUUGUGUACAUGGCUGAUAUCCCAGGUACCCUUUGCCUGGUGCUCUCUCAAGUGUAAGCCUUGAUGGUUUUGCAGGCCUGAGCACCCUUUUAUCUCCAUUUUCUCAGCUGUUGCUGAUGAGUACAGAAGUUUAGUUAUUUGGCUCACGCCUGUAAUCCCAGCACUUUGGGAGGCCAACGCGGGUGGAUCACGAGGUUAGGAGUUCGAGACCAGCCUGGCCAACAUAGUGAAACCC